This 508-nucleotide ribosomal RNA is filed under the name Stenotarsus lemniscatus. Its description in RNAcentral is "partial 16S ribosomal RNA". The stretch from base 382 to 508 matches the Rfam family "Archaeal large subunit ribosomal RNA", at positions 2544 to 2671 of the family's 2987-position model. Lineage: Eukaryota; Metazoa; Arthropoda; Insecta; Coleoptera; Endomychidae. The record is from RNAcentral.
GUCUUUUUGAAAAUAAUAUAAAGUCUAACCUGCCCMCUGAAAAUUUAAAUGGSUGCGGUAUUUUGRCCGUACAAAGGUAGCAUAAUCAAUAGUUUCCUAAUUAGAAGCUUGUAUGAAUGGUUGGAUAAGAAAAUUACUGUCUCAAGUUAAAUUAUAGAAUUUUAUUUUUAAGUUAAAAAGCUUAAAUUUUAUUAAAAGACGAGAAGACCCUAUAGAGUUUAAUAAUUUUUUAAAAUUAAGAUUUUUAGUUUUUAAUAUUUUUAUUUUAAUUAAUUAUUUGAUUGGGGUGAUUAAAAAAUUUAAUAAACUUUUUUUUAUUUUUUACAUUAAUUUAUGUAUUAUUGAUCCAUUGAAAUGAUUAAAAGAAAAAAUUACCUUAGGGAUAACAGCGUAAUUUUUUCUAAGAGUUCUUAUUGAAGAAAAAGAUUGCGACCUCGAUGUUGGAUUAAAGGAAAUUUAUGGUGAAGAAGCUAUAAAAUUAAGYCYGUYCCACUYUUAAAACUUUMCA